This 1629-nucleotide long non-coding RNA is filed under the name Homo sapiens (human). RNAcentral describes it as "HSALNT0334267". Lineage: Eukaryota; Metazoa; Chordata; Mammalia; Primates; Hominidae. The record is from RNAcentral.
CCUGGCCUCCAGCAAUCCUCCUGCCCCAGCAUCCCAAAAUGCUGAGAUUAUAGGCACGAGCCACCAAGCCUGACUAACUGGGAAUUUAUUAAAGAGGCAAGCCCUGGUCACUCCACUAGAGAUUUUGAUUCAGGAGGUCUGGAGUGGGGUCCGGGAUUAUGUAUUUUUGACACAGUCUGCAGGAGAUGAUACAUUUGACAUAAUGGGCCCUAACUGGAGAAACUCAGGCAUGGUGUGAGAUACAAAGGGUUAGUAAAUUGCUCUGGUGGGAAGGAAGGAAGCAGUGAACAUUAAGGACCAAAAUCCUCCUACCUCUCCACCACCCCAGAAUUGAAGAUGCAGAGUACUGAGCCCUCCACCUGCAAAUGCAUACAGCCAUGAACAGAUGGGUGUAAACUGAGGCAGUGGAGGGAGAGGGGUACUCCCAAGCCCUGAAAAUCUCAGAGUAAGAGGCCACCGACGACAGCGCUCACCGGUGCUGAGCUCCCUUCUACAGAAACCUGCAAAGACUCAGAUCGAGGAGGAAAUACACCAGGAAAAUGUCACAGGAUCAUCUCGAGCAGUCCCUUCCAGCGCCAAGCCAUUCAUUCAAGAAUGACUCAGGGCCGGGCGUGGUGGCUCACACCUGUAAUCCCAGCACUUUGGGAGGCCGAGGCAGGCGGAUCACGAGGUCAAGAGACUGAGAUCAUCCUGGCUAAUAUGAUUGAGUUCCACAAGGCUGAAGUUUGCCCAUGAUUCUGCUGGGAGAGAUCCACGAUCAUCUUGCCAGGAAACAGUUCCAAGGAUCCGAAUCCAAGUUGGCCUGAAUCCACAGGCCAAAGCACCCUCACUUUCUCCUAUAAUGUCUUUCAUAUUUACCAGUAUCUAGCACUAUGAUGGUUCAGUACACACUGGAAUGAGUGAAUGAAGAAAUGAAUGAACAAAUGAUUGGAUCCCAGGUUGGUAAAGAAAACCUCUCAGCACACACAAAAAGGGUGGAGGAUGGAGGCGGGGAGGAGAUGUAAGAAUAAAUGGAAAAUAAAACAAACAAUCGUUGUAUUACCACUUCCUCUGGGGCUGGGUCAUGGUUUUUAACGGUGUGCAGCGGGCACAUCCAGUGUGGUACAGGCACAUCCACAAAGAGAAACAAAGAGCUAUUUAUUUACUUCCUUUGAGGGGUAAAUAAAGAUCAGGUCAAAACAGGCUCCCCCCAACCGCCAGGGGGUCUUCCCCAGGUGUUGAUGCAGCACUUGGCCUGGAGCAGUCACAGGUGGCCUCUGCUUGUGUGUCAUCCCGCCUUCCUUUACACAUGCGUGGGUCUGGCUCGCAAGGGAGGCCCCAUGUGCAGUGGGGAAGUAGCGUAAGGGGAAAGGUGGCAGGGCAGGGCUUCCUCACCCCUCCGCCAGUGCAGCCAGGGCAGCAACAUUUAUACCACCAGGAGAGAGAUGGGAGAGUCAACAAGUGGGAUGGCGCUGGCCUAAGAGCUGGCUCGGGGUGCUGGAGGCCCCAUGCUGGGCCAGGCAGUAGAUAUGCAGAUGGCUGCAUCUUGUGGGGAUAGGACUAAGAGGGGGACCAUGUACGGGUACAGCCAAUCCCCAUUAUUCAUGGAGUCUGUAUUUGUGAAUUUGCCUCCUUGCUAAAAUUUGUGAC